Long non-coding RNA from Corythoichthys intestinalis (scribbled pipefish), 2593 nucleotides. RefSeq lists it as uncharacterized. The record is from RefSeq and is a predicted model, not a curated record. The transcript is spliced from 3 exons. Lineage: Eukaryota; Metazoa; Chordata; Actinopteri; Syngnathiformes; Syngnathidae.
AGCCAAGAUGGUUCAUGUCAUACACAGUUGCAUCUUCGGCCGUAGUUUGUUCUUUAUUUCUUCCUUGGACAAGUUUUGUUCAGAGGAACUGGUUCUGCAGAUCUGAAGCACAUGCCGUCCCAGCAGCACCUCUGCCAGCUCCUCGUUAUACUGCACACAGCGGACAAAAUGUGAAGAAUGGAUUGACGCAAAGGGAAAACAGAAAUGCAAGCCUGCUAGUUAAGAGGGACAGCACGAAUUCCCAAGUGAGCCAAGUGAGAGGAAUCAAGUGGUUGAAAACGCGAGACAAGACACAGACGUGGCUCAGACGUGCUGCACAACUAAGAUGUAUAGAUGGAUUGUAUCCCCACCCACUAACACUGAGGGACAUUAAGUACUGAAAAAUGGCGGCAAUAAUUCUGAUAGGUAAGGCUUUCACUUUUAUCUCUCAUCAUUAAUCAGUGUAAAAUUUUGAAAUUGUGGUCUGGCUAUUUUCUACUUUAUUCACCUGCUACUUCACCAUUUCAUUCAUUCUCUGAAUUGGAAACUUCCUGCACAGACCACCAAAAGACGCAUUUUUGGCAGAAAACUAUGCCAUGUAGUUGCAGGCCUGCCAUGUACAUUUGUUCAGUUUUGACUGUAUUGACUAGUUAGACUACAUAUAUGGUUAACUUCUGAAAAUAUUCCUUCCAUCAACCUCUAUCACUCCCAGUGGCGCCUCCAGAAAUUUUUCAUAGGGGUGGCCAGAUGGGGCGACUUAAAAUCUUGGGGUGGCACACCAAAACUAAAAGCCAUCAUUUCAGGUUUUCAUUAUAUUAUUGCCAGUGUUGUUAAUAACGGCGUUAGGAUAUAUCGGCAUUACUAACGGCGUUAUUUUCUUCAGUAGUGAGUAAUCUAAUUAAUUACGUUUCUCAUCUUGGCAACGCUGUUACCGUUACUGAGGCAGGAAAGGCGUGUGUUACUAUACGUUACGAUGUUGGUUGACUGAUGCGAGAAAAGUGUGGAAAAAGACGGACUUACAGAGACAAGAGAGUAGAGCAGGAGUGGGGAGGAGGCAAGGAAGUGUGACGCCGUUGCAAACGAAAUGCUACUAUGCUCGGUGGCUCCAAUAAUACCUGACUGUAGCCGAUAGCAUACAAACUACGCCCACAUGAUGCUUCGGUAGAUAUCACAUAUAUACAGAACUAGAUGCAAAUGAUAGACACGGCGGCAUUAGCAACAUAUAUAAUAAAGAACUAGAUGCGUUAGUAAACAGCCGCCAUCUUAAAGCAGUAGACUUCUCAUGAAGGCAUUGUUGUAGAGAACCUUACUAGCGAACCUUAGUCACUUUUAUCUAAAAUGCUCCUAAAUUGUCAAAAUGUAUAUCUUUAAAAGAUGAAACAGUUUUAAAACUUACACAUGUCGAAAAUAGACAGAAGGGAACUAAUGCAAUAACGGGAGCAAUUUUAACAACUUUAACAGUUGAUUCACAACAUUAUAUUACUUCCACACAUAGCAAAUGUUCUUAUCUAGUUAUCGCAAUAUCCGCAAUACCCCUGUGUCUAGUUAAGUUUAGGGUAAAGAAUUGGGCUAGGGCCAAUUGUCCCAAAAACCCUUUAAACUUCAGAUUUUGUGACCUGUUUUGAGAAAGAAAAAAAACAUGAAAAUUAUUACCAAUUACUUUGUCAAGUAACUAAUUACUCUUACAUUCCGGUAACUGAGUUACUAACGCAAUUACUUUUUGGGAGAAGUAAUUUGUAACUGCAAUUAAUUACUUUUUUAAAAUAAGAUUAACAACACUUAUUAUUGCAGUAAAAAGGUCAGGGGAAAACUAUCAGAAAGACCUAAGGACACGGCUACUGAUAUACUUUGGUGGAUUGUGUAAUAUUUGAUGUUACUAAUAAUUUAAUGUGCAUAGUUCAUAGUCCAUAGUCCAUAGUCAUGGCUGUGCAUUUGGGAUGAAAUGCAUAUCUGAUGCUACAACAAUCUAACUAUAUACUGGCAAGCGGGGUGGCCAGUGGGGUGGCUAACAAAUUUAUAGGGGGGGCCGUGGCCACCCCCUGAUGGCGCCACUGAUCACUCCUUCUUGUAUGUUAGCAACUAGAUUAUAGUCAAAUGGUUAAUGGAGAGUGCUUUUAUUUACACCUUUUAUGGUGCCCAAAGUUCUUUAUAUUGGUCACAUUGCCCAUUCACGCACAUUGAUGCAUGCUUUUUCCCCUUUCCUGCUGUAUAGAUGCCUCACAAACAUUUUCAGACUCAUGACUUUUGAAAUUUGAGGAUAUAGUUAUUAAUUUAGACCGCGUUUUGCUCUUCUGUAGAAUUGCUUGCUGUGGUUUUAUGGUUGAGUAAGCCAUCUUUGGUUUCAGGGUUUGUCCUGUGUUCAGUCUUUGUUAUUCCUUGAGGUUUUGUGAAAAGGGUGGUUAGCUAUAAAGGCCUGUUGUGUUCCUAGAUUCAAGAACCUUUGGAAAGGUUUACUUCUGUAUGAAAAACUUGAGAUGGCUUAAACACUGGGAUCAGGGCUGUACACUAAGUUUUUCAUAAGGAGCACACUUGCUCGCAAAUUUAAAAAUUUAGGAGCACAAAAAAAAAAUUUAGGAGCAUUUUUUUUUUUUUUAGCUUAUAGUGCACUUUGUUU